RNAcentral lists this ribosomal RNA (253 nucleotides) under uncultured bacterium. RNAcentral describes it as "partial 16S ribosomal RNA". It matches the Rfam family "Bacterial small subunit ribosomal RNA", at positions 524 to 776 of the family's 1533-position model. The record is from RNAcentral.
UACGUAGGUGGCGAGCGUUGUCCGGAAUUACUGGGUGUAAAGCGCGUGUAGGCGGGAGGCCAAGUCUGCGGUGAAAUCGCUCGGCUCAACUGGGCGGGGUCCGUGGAAACUGGUCACCUGGAGGACGGUAGAGGCGAGUGGAAUUCCCGGUGUAGUGGUGAAAUGCGUAGAGAUCAGGAGGAACACCGGUGGCGAAGGCGGGUCUCUGGGCCGAUACUGACGCUGAGGAGCGAAAGCGUGGGGAGCGAACAGG